CCCUGUGAAUGCAUUCAGCAGUACAGCUGACUAGGGGUCCCCCUGUGAAUGCAUUCAGCAGUACAGCUGACUAGGGGUCCCCCUGUGAAUGCAUUCAGCAGUACAGCUGACUAGGGGUCCCCCUGUGAAUGCAUUCAGCAGUACAGCUGACUAGGGGUCCCCCUGUGAAUGCAUUCAGCAGUACAGCUGACUAAGUAUCCCCCUGUGAAUGCAUUCAGCAGUACAGCUGACUAGGGGUCCCCCUGUGAAUGCAUUCAACAGUACAGCUGACUAGGUGUCCCCCUGUGAAUACAUUCAGCAGUACAGCUGACUAAGUAUCCCCCUGUGAAUGCAUUCAGCAGUACAGCUGACUAAGUAUCCCCCUGUGAAUACAUUCAGCAGUACAGCUGACUAAGUAUCCCCCUGUGAAUACAUUCAGCAGUACAGCUGACUAGGUAUCCUCCUUUCCCUAUACACCAAAGUCAGUGAAUUAGGACAAAGUGCACUGUAUACUACUAUCACAAUCUUGAGGGGUCUGUUGCUUUUACAUUUUAAGUCAUUUAGCAGACGCUUUUAUCCAGAGCGACUUACAGAAGCAAUUGUGGUUAAGUGCCUUGGUCUAGGGCACCUUGUCAUCUCGGGGAUUCGAACCAGUGACCUUUCAGUUACUGGCCCAGCGCUCUUAACUGCUAGGCCAAAACUGACAGCAGCUACAAAAUACUACACAGAUGGCUUGACUAUGUUUGGGUCAGAAUGUGUGUUCCUUGGUGCACAUACAAAUACAUCUGCAGUUUGAUUUAGUUCUAUUUUAAAAUAAUAAGACGAUAAAUAAUGCAGUAACAAAAGAAAAGUGUUCUGAGUUUUAACACUUCAUUUCAUCUUGUUACAACGUACCCUCUGUUUUGUAAAGAUUUGUCUGAUGAGAAC
Molecule: long non-coding RNA, 906 nt
Organism: Oncorhynchus tshawytscha (Chinook salmon)
Lineage: Eukaryota; Metazoa; Chordata; Actinopteri; Salmoniformes; Salmonidae
Source: Ensembl